RNAcentral lists this long non-coding RNA (816 nucleotides) under Homo sapiens (human). RNAcentral's name for it is "USP2 antisense RNA 1". Lineage: Eukaryota; Metazoa; Chordata; Mammalia; Primates; Hominidae. The record is from RNAcentral.
AGAGAACCACGUGGAGGAAAAGCACGCGAGUUUGGAGCGGGUGGAGCAGGAACAGAGGUGGACUGGAAUGUCACACGACGGGGCAGCUGGAAGGGCACCACUGAGUUCAGUACUUCAAAAUUGCCGUGCUCUACCUCUCCCCAGUGCACAAAAACACUCUCCACACCAAGCUGCUGCUGCUGGGGGAUGGAGGGAUGGCGUCAGCGAUUCAAGACUGUUUUUCCUACCUGUUCAGCACUUCUUUCAGCGAUAUGAAGUUAAAUCCAGGCCAAGUUCCCACCUGGUGGGAAGCACUGUGCAGGUUCGUGGGGAUGCAGCCCUGCACAGCCCAGACUGGACUCCUUCCCCAUGGAACUCACAACACACGGGAGAGGCAGAGAGAUCCAAGCGCACAGAAAAACACAAGAAGAUUCAGCCCUGUCAUCUUGUGCAAAUCCUCACUGUCCCCAGAAGGAAGAGAGGCACACAGCGCUCCCCAGCCGCUGGAAUCCAGGAAGAAUUGAGGUGCUCAAGACCCACCACCUCUUUGCCUGCAAACUCUAAGCUCACUGUCCUGCUCCCUUGCUCCCAGAAGUGGCACUGGAUGGAUCCCAUCCAGAGGCUAAUGAUGGAGGAUUGCUCGAGUUCAAGACCAGCCUGGGCAACAUAGUGAGACCCUGUCUCUACACACACAAAAAGCCAGAUGUGGUGUCGUGUGCCUCUAGCCCCAGAAGGUGUGACUCAUAAGACUGGAAACUCCUGAACGUAGCAAGGAUGCUGGCAGCCAAGCCAAUGACUACAAACAUGAUAAAGUCCAUUACAAGGAUGGAAAGUCCA